GACGAACGCUGGCGGCGUGCUUAACACAUGCAAGUCGAACGGAAAGGCCCUGCUUUUUUGGGGUGCUCGAGGGGCGAACGGGUGAGUAACACGUGAGUAACCUGCCCUUGACUUUGGGAUAACUUCAUGAAACUGGGGCUAAUACCGGAUAGGAGCUCCUGCUGCAGGGUGGGGGUUGGAAAGUUUCGGCGGUUGGUGAUGGACUCGCCGCUUAUCAGCUUGGUGGGUGGGUAGUGGAUGACCAAGGCUUUGAGAGGUAGCCGGGCUGAGAGGGUGACCGGACCCACUAGGCCUGGACUGCGGCACAGACUACUCCGGGACGCGGGGGUGGAGUAUAGUACACUAUGCGAGGAAGCAUGAUGUGAUCAAGCCGCGUGCGGGAUGACGGGCUUCGGGUUGUAAACCACUUUCGCCUGUGACGAAGCGUGAGUGACGGUAAUGGGUAAAGAAGCACCGGCUAACUACGUG
RNAcentral lists this ribosomal RNA (468 nucleotides) under uncultured bacterium. Its description in RNAcentral is "partial 16S ribosomal RNA". It matches the Rfam family "Bacterial small subunit ribosomal RNA", at positions 28 to 507 of the family's 1533-position model. The record is from RNAcentral.